GGGACACGUGGUAUCCUGUCUGAAUAUGGGGGGACCAUCCUCCAAGGCUAAAUACUCCUGACUGACCGAUAGUGAACCAGUACCGUGAGGGAAAGGCGAAAAGAACCCCGGCGAGGGGAGUGAAAAAGAACCUGAAACCGUGUACGUACAAGCAGUGGGAGCCUCUUUAUGGGGUGACUGCGUACCUUUUGUAUAAUGGGUCAGCGACUUAUAUUCUGUAGCAAGGUUAACCGUAUAGGGGAGCCGAAGGGAAACCGAGUCUUAACUGGGCGUUAAGUUGCAGGGUAUAGACCCGAAACCCGGUGAUCUAGCCAUGGGCAGGUUGAAGGUUGGGUAACACUAACUGGAGGACCGAACCGACUAAUGUUGAAAAAUUAGCGGAUGACCUGUGGCUGGGGGUGAAAGGCCAAUCAAACCGGGAGAUAGCUGGUUCUCCCCGAAAGCUAUUUAGGUAGCGCCUCGUGAACUCAUCUUCGGGGGUAGAGCACUGUUUCGGCUAGGGGGCCAUCCCGGCUUACCAACCCGAUGCAAACUACGAAUACCGAAGAAUGUUAUCACGGGAGACACACGGCGGGUGCUAACGUCCGUCGUGAAGAGGGAAACAACCCAGACCGCCAGCUAAGGUCCCAAAGUCAUGGUUAAGUGGGAAACGAUGUGGGAAGGCACAGACAGCCAGGAUGUUGGCUUAGAAGCAGCCAUCAUUUAAAGAAAGCGUAAUAGCUCACUGGUCGAGUCGGCCUGCGCGGAAGAUGUAACGGGGCUAAACCAUGCACCGAAGCUGCGGCAGCGACACUAUGUGUUGUUGGGUAGGGGAGCGUUCUGUAAGCCGUUGAAGGUGUGCUGUGAGGCAUGCUGGAGGUAUCAGAAGUGCGAAUGCUGACAUAAGUAACGAUAAAGCGGGUGAAAAGCCCGCUCGCCGGAAGACCAAGGGUUCCUGUCCAACGUUAAUCGGGGCAGGGUGAGUCGACCCCUAAGGCGAGGCCGAAAGGCGUAGUCGAUGGGAAACAGGUUAAUAUUCCUGUACUUGGUGUUACUGCGAAGGGGGGACGGAGAAGGCUAUGUCAGCCGGGCGACGGUUGUCCCGGUUUAAGCAUGUAGGCGGAGGU
RNAcentral lists this ribosomal RNA (1106 nucleotides) under Enterobacter hormaechei. Its description in RNAcentral is "partial 23S ribosomal RNA". It matches the Rfam family "Bacterial large subunit ribosomal RNA", at positions 419 to 1531 of the family's 2925-position model. Lineage: Bacteria; Pseudomonadati; Pseudomonadota; Gammaproteobacteria; Enterobacterales; Enterobacteriaceae. The record is from RNAcentral. RNAcentral also lists the same sequence under 1 other name.